This is a long non-coding RNA of Balaenoptera musculus (blue whale), 2489 nucleotides long. RefSeq lists it as uncharacterized. The record is from RefSeq and is a predicted model, not a curated record. NCBI's taxonomy places the organism in Eukaryota, Metazoa, Chordata, Mammalia, Artiodactyla, Balaenopteridae. The transcript is spliced from 5 exons.
UUGGAGGCAAGCUGAAGCCUCGUCUCCACGCCAGGGAGCCGGCAGAAGGAAGACCCUCACGGAGCCCUCCAGAGCGCGUAACAGGAGAGCUCGCAUUCGGAUGCCUGCCCAUACACUGGGAACAAAGGGCCCGUCGGUGUCAAGUGGAGGCGCUGUCGUGACCAGCGGAGAGGGUUACGAGCUUACAAGCGACAGUCUCGUAAAACGCGACCGGCCUCUCCGUCCUCCGCCCCCCCACGCCGCAGCAGUGCAUGCUGGGAAGCGGGAGGCGUUGCUAGAACGGGAAGAAGCCGGACCGCCCUCCGAAGCGCCGCCGUCAGCCCCGAGCGCACGUUCCGGUCCCUCGGGGAAACUUAAAAAAAAAAAAUUCUUGGUAUGCCCAGAUAUUCCGAUUUAACUGGUCUGGAACGGAACCCAGGCAUUGACAUUUUAAAUGAGCAGCCUGAAUUGGGAACCACUUCCCUAAAGCCUGUGCUUGGGAGACGGUGGAGGGUUGCCAGAUUUAGCAAACAAAAUGAGAGGUACUUAGAUGAAAACGUUAUUUAUCUAGAGGGAAGUUUUAAGUUUUGCAGUUUUAAGAGGGAAGGAAAAGUACUGGAAAUGGACAGAAGGUUGAAAUUUUAAAAUGAACAGGGCAGAAUCUUAAGGAACGAAAAUAACCGUUUAAUGAUAAAAGGUGACUGAAACACUAUGGAAUUGGGCUGAUCUGUCACUCAGAGGAGCUGCUACCCAGUGAGAAAUGGGGGGUUUGAGAGUUUGGGAGCAAUUUCAGGAAAAAUAAACCGUUUCAUGUUUAUGACCCCAGUGAACUGAGAUUCCCAGUAAACCAGUGAUAUCGCUCUGACCUUGCCCCAGAGAUGAGCAAACAGAAGCCUGGAGAAUUUACGUGAUUUGUGCAAGUUCAACACAGCUGAAACCAGCCUUGCAGAAGACUGUCCAGUGGGGUGCGGGGGGGGACCUUAGAGUCCCAUAGCUCUAAGGAGAUUCUUAGAAACCUCCACUCUGAAGGCCUCUUGUCCUUCAAUCAAUCAUCCAGCACAUCCUCACAACUCCCUCGGAUCACCCUGAGGCCACCCUUCUCACCGUUGACACCACUACCAUUAUUCCUGACACAUGAGGCAGGAUGAUCCAAGACCAGAAGGUCAUCAUGAUCAAGAGUGCUAGCCAUCCUUCCCCACCACUCCAGCGGGGGAGGUAUCCAAGGCAGCUCAGUUCAACCGAGUGGCAGGAAGGACAGAAUCCCAUGGAAAGGAGCCAAAGUUCUAUCAGGAAGACAACACCAGUUCUGACAAAUCUGGAAGGUGAUGCAAGGACAAAAAUAACACCACUUGGUGACUGGGAGCUGAGAGCAGGAUGGAAAGGGGUGUGAGGCACAGGUUAGCAAUGAGCAAGUCAGGACUGAGGCUGUGACCAGCAGGUGAUUGCCAGUGCACACCUUUGUCAUGGUGCCAGAACAUACCAUGCCUCUUAAAGGAGCCACAUGCAGCUGGACACCAGUCAACUCUCCAUGGUCACGCUUAUUACCUAUUGCUUCACCACUCACCUCCCCUGAGUACAAUGUGUCUCCUGUGUUUCCCAUUCAGCUAAUGGUAUCACCAUCCACUUAAGAAUCAUCUUGGGCAUCUCCAAUAUCAUCUUCCCAAUUUUAAUCAAUCAUCAAAUCUAAAAACUUCUAUCAACUAAGUAUCUCUUGACCCCAUCCCCAGUCGCCUUGGUUCUGGCUCUCAACAUCUCUCCGUGGGACCGUCGCUGCCCACACUGCAAGAGGUUCCUCUCCGGCCUCCUGCUCACAGCAUCCCCUUCCUCUCUACCAUGGCACAGCUGCCUCUCUGCCCUACACAUUAAAACCUUAGGAGGUGCCCCAUUGUCCUUAGCAGACCAAAUUCCAGAGCAUGGCAUAUUAGAGCAGUUUUAUUACAAGUGAUAGAAACUUUAGUAGGACUAUUUGGGACGAAAGGGGGAAAUUUAUUAAUUUAAAUAGCUGAAUUGUGGGAAAUACACCUGUUGUGUCCCAGAUAUUUGAAUCAGCGGCUUGAAUACCAUUGGAAUUUUUUCUCUUUCUCUGUGUAUUGUCAACAUUGUCUUUGCCUUUUUCCACAAGCCUGGACCAUGACCCCUGGCCCCUUGGAGCCCAUAUCUACCUAGUUGCUGGUACCACUAAAGUGGACACACCACUUCUCCUAAUGGAAAUACAGAGAAGAAAAGAGAAGGUUGCAGGGGUCGUGAAGCAAGCACAGGCUCCUUUCUGCUUCUCAGAAGGGCUGGCCAGCGCCUCGGCCAUGCUCCUCAGGAAUGGCUGGGAAAACGAGCCUACCUGGUGGGCCAGCCAGGUUCCUGCUACCUGAAGCCCUGCCAGGGCUGUGCAGACUCCCAGUGGCUGGAAAAGGAGUCUGAGGGAAAAGUCCUACAAAGGCACCCGUAGCACAGUGGUUAAGGCAGGGCUCUGGGGGCUUCCCUGGUGGCUCAGUGGUUAAGAAUCCACCUGCCAA